This 449-nucleotide ribosomal RNA is filed under the name uncultured bacterium. Its description in RNAcentral is "partial 16S ribosomal RNA". It matches the Rfam family "Bacterial small subunit ribosomal RNA", at positions 354 to 796 of the family's 1533-position model. The record is from RNAcentral.
GUCGAGAAUCUUUCACAAUGGGGGCAACCCUGAUGGAGCGACGCCGCGUGGAGGAUAAGGUCUUCGGAUUGUAAACUCCUGUCAUGCGUGAACAAGGUUGCUUGGUUAAUACCUGGGCAAAUUGAUGGUAACGCAAGAGGAAGAGCCGGCUAACUCUGUGCCAGCAGCCGCGGUAAUACAGAGGUCUCAAGCGUUGUUCGGAAUCACUGGGCGUAAAGGGUGCGUAGGUGGCGUGGUAAGUCAGAUGUGAAAGCCCGGGGCUCAACCUCGGAACUGCAGCCGAUACUGCCAUGCUAGAGUACUGGAGAGGUGACUAGAAUUCUCGGUGUAGCAGUGAAAUGCGUAGAUAUCGAGAGGAAUACCAAAGGCGUAGGCAGGUCACUGGACAGUUACUGACACUGAGGCACGAAGGCCAGGGGAGCGAACGGGAUUAGAUACCCUUGUAGUCC